UGCAGCCAUCGGAUCUACCACUUGCUCUGGAAGGAAGAGGAGGGCUCUGCCCAAGCUCGAGCAGAUCGAUGACAGCACUGCCGGUGACAACCUCCACGCCUCCCUGAACGCAGCCGCCGACGCCGAGGUCGCCAAGAACACCGCCCAGGAUGGUUCAGGCCGCCUUGUUUUGUGGAGGACUACCACAAUCACCCUGACUUACACGUCAUCCUCCACCGUGUCCGGCACCAAACUCUCCCUCUCGUACGCCUGCACAGCGUCGGGCAUGAACCUGCCACCCAGCUGUUAACCCGUUCUUUUUCCUAUUCUCCUCGAUGCCUUGUCGCUUGGCUUCGUAAAGAUGGCUUUUUUGUGUAACUAUUGCUCUCUAUGCUUUUUCAUUACCCUCCCAGGUAAUGAAAUGUUUUUCUCUUAUUUAUUGUUGUUCUUGUUAUGUAUUGUAUUGUUUAUACAGCUAUACUUGUAAAUAGAAGGACCUUUAUUAUGUACAGCAUGUAUCAUAAGAAAUAAAAAAUAUAUAUGUAUA
Penaeus indicus is the source of this 526-nucleotide long non-coding RNA. RefSeq lists it as uncharacterized. The record is from RefSeq and is a predicted model, not a curated record. NCBI's taxonomy places the organism in Eukaryota, Metazoa, Arthropoda, Malacostraca, Decapoda, Penaeidae. The transcript has 2 exons.